GAUGAACGCUGGCGGCGUGCCUAAUACAUGCAAGUCGAGCGAACAGAUGAGGAACUUGCUCCUCUGACGUUAGCGGCGGACGGGUGAGUAACACGUGGAGAACCUACCUAUAAGACUGGGAUAACUUCGGGAAACCGGAGCUAAUACCGGAUAAUAUAUUGAACCACAUGGUUCAAUAGUGAAAGAUGGUAUUGCUGUCACCUAUAGAUAGAUCCGCGCCGCAUUAGCUAGUUGUUAAGGUAACGGCUUACAAAGGCAACAAUGCGUAGCCGCCCUGAGGGGGGGACCGCCAACACGGGAACGGAGACACGGUCCAGACCCCUCGGGGAGGCAGCGUAAGGGAACCUUCCGCAUUGAGCGAAAUCCUGACGGAGCAACGCGGCGGGAUGGAUGAAGGUCUCCGGUUCGAAAACCUCGGUUAUAAGGGAAAAACAAAUGUGUAAGUAACUAUGCACGACUUGACGGUACCUACUCAGAAAGCCACGGCUAACUACGUG
RNAcentral lists this ribosomal RNA (497 nucleotides) under uncultured bacterium. RNAcentral describes it as "partial 16S ribosomal RNA". It matches the Rfam family "Bacterial small subunit ribosomal RNA", at positions 28 to 507 of the family's 1533-position model. The record is from RNAcentral.